This is a long non-coding RNA of Astatotilapia calliptera (eastern happy), 688 nucleotides long. The record is from Ensembl. NCBI's taxonomy places the organism in Eukaryota, Metazoa, Chordata, Actinopteri, Cichliformes, Cichlidae.
CUGUUUAAAGGCACUGAAUGUGGUAUUUUGCCAGGCUGGGACUUGAUCCAAAAGGAAAAUACUGAAGAGAAACAGAGAAGAAACAGACUGUGUUUGCUGGAAUUCAAGACAACAAAAGGACACUGAGAGAAGAGGACGGUGACCAGUGAGAGGCGAAGCUGGACGACUUCGACUGUGAGAAUAGAGGGUGUAAUUGGACUGAAAGUGAAGCUUGAACUCAUGAUGGUUUAGAGAUGUCCACCGUCACAAACAAAGAGAAGAUCUCGGCGACCACAGGAGGGGCGAGGAUCCUGGAGAUCUCGAGGUCCGAGACCACCAGAGAGGGUCUGAGCGAGGACACAAUGUAUUGCGACCUCUGGUGUUCCAGAGGUCGAGAGAGGGAGUGUGGAGCAGGGAAAUUAUUUUACUGCUAUUGUUAAAUAAUUGUCAUCAGUACCAUUGCAUUAAGAAUAUAAUCUGCAGCAUGGAUAUUGCAUUCAGAGGUUUAAACAGUGUCUCUUUCAGAAAGACUGAGUUGCAGGCUGACAGGAAGUUGUAUGCAGAAGUGGAAGUUAUUUUGAGCCGCAGGCUAAGACGAGGCUUUAACAAUGUAACAGAUAGCUUUAAGAAGGCCUUAAGCAGUUAUGACUAUUUCAUACACAAUGCAUAUCUGUGCUUAUUAAAGAGUUGGAGCUCGGUCAAUUAAUUG